This is a long non-coding RNA of Hibiscus syriacus, 571 nucleotides long. RefSeq lists it as uncharacterized. The record is from RefSeq and is a predicted model, not a curated record. Lineage: Eukaryota; Viridiplantae; Streptophyta; Magnoliopsida; Malvales; Malvaceae. The transcript has 3 exons.
UCCAAUUAGAAUGAAAUCCCUUAAUCCCAUAUUUCCCCAUCAUCGUCGUUACUCCCCCCGAAUCGCGUCAUCCAUUCACUGUGCUCGUCACUACCACUACCAAAGUGAUUGGUGACCUCCCGCGAUCAAAACCAAAUCAACCACUUAUCGUGAAGGCCCACAAUUCUUCUUUAUAUGAGCAUCAAACCUUCUUCAAAAACCUAAAGCUCCCCUAUCGAGAGCCACACAGUGCCACCACCGUGUUCUCCAUGCAAUUCCGAUCAAAACCUAGGUGGUUGGGUCCCUUAUCGUUACUCCGUUGCUGCCCCUCCAUAUUUACAUCGUGGUAUAUGAGGUACUAUUCAACGUCAAGUCCAAGACUGAGAGUGAUCGAAUGGAGUUGAAAUGAUCGACUGAUGUAGCUAAAAAAUCAAGAUUAGGUGAGCAUACGAGGAGCCUUCAAGUGACCAAGGUUCAGACCAGUGCAGAGUACAUCUUAAAUUUUGUAGGGCAUGUAUAUUUAUAGACCCAUUUGUAUUGAGUCGUAACUUUAUUGUAAAGUGGUUUAUUUAUUUUAAAUGUAUAUAUUUAU